RNAcentral lists this transfer RNA (71 nucleotides) under Bradyrhizobium sp. CCBAU 051011. RNAcentral describes it as "tRNA-OTHER". It matches the Rfam family "tRNA". From Rfam's summary of the family: Transfer RNA (tRNA) molecules are approximately 80 nucleotides in length. Their secondary structure includes four short double-helical elements and three loops (D, anti-codon, and T loops). Further hydrogen bonds mediate the characteristic L-shaped molecular structure. tRNAs have two regions of fundamental functional importance: the anti-codon, which is responsible for specific mRNA codon recognition, and the 3' end, to which the tRNAs corresponding amino acid is attached (by aminoacyl-tRNA synthetases). tRNAs cope with the degeneracy of the genetic code in two manners: having more than one tRNA (with a specific anti-codon) for a particular amino acid; and 'wobble' base-pairing, i.e. permitting non-standard base-pairing at the 3rd anti-codon position. The record is from RNAcentral. Lineage: Bacteria; Pseudomonadati; Pseudomonadota; Alphaproteobacteria; Hyphomicrobiales; Nitrobacteraceae.
GUGAUUGUAGCUCAUGGAGAGCAUCGGGAUAAAACCCGAAGGCAUCGGUUCGAUUCCGAUCUGUCGCACAA